CCUACGGGUGGCUGCAGUAAGGAAUAUUGGACAAUGGGCGCAAGCCUGAUCCAGCCAUGCCGCGUGCAGGAUGACGGCCCUAUGGGUUGUAAACUGCUUUUAUACGGGAAAAAACCCCUCUACGUGUAGAGGGCUGAUGGUACCGUAAGACUAAGGAUCGGCUAACUCCGUGCCAGCAGCCGCGGUAAUACGGAGGAUCCGGGCGUUAUCCGGUUUUAUUGGGUUUUAGGCGUGCUUGUACGUCAUUGUUGAAAUCCUGCAGCUUAACUGUAGAACUGCCAUUGAUACUGCAAGUCUUGAGUACAUAUGAUGUGGGCGGAAGGUGUAGUGUAGCGGUGAAAUGCUUAGAUAUUACACAGAACACCAAUUGCGAAGGCAGCUCACAAAACUGUAACUGACGCUGAGGCACGAAAGCGUGGGGAGUGAACAGGAUUAGAUACCCUAGUAGUC
Molecule: ribosomal RNA, 450 nt
Filed under: uncultured bacterium
Lineage: Bacteria
Description: partial 16S ribosomal RNA
Rfam family: Bacterial small subunit ribosomal RNA
Source: RNAcentral